ACCCCUGUGAACAUACCACUUGUUGCCUCGGCGGAUCAGCCCGCUCCCGGUAAAACGGGACGGCCCGCCAGAGGACCCCUAAACUCUGUUUCUAUAUGUAACUUCUGAGUAAAACCAUAAAUAAAUCAAAACUUUCAACAACGGAUCUCUUGGUUCUGGCAUCGAUGAAGAACGCAGCAAAAUGCGAUAAGUAAUGUGAAUUGCAGAAUUCAGUGAAUCAUCGAAUCUUUGAACGCACAUUGCGCCCGCCAGUAUUCUGGCGGGCAUGCCUGUUCGAGCGUCAUUUCAACCCUCAAGCACAGCUUGGUGUUGGGACUCGCGUUAAUUCGCGUUCCUCAAAUUGAUUGGCGGUCACGUCGAGCUUCCAUAGCGUAGUAGUAAAACCCUCGUUACUGGUAAUCGUCGCGGCCACGCCGUUAAACCCCAACUUCUGAAUGUUGACCUCGGAUCAGGUAGGAAUACCCGCUGAACUUAAGCAUAU
This 481-nucleotide ribosomal RNA is filed under the name Fusarium oxysporum. RNAcentral describes it as "eukaryotic LSU rRNA". The stretch from base 130 to 283 matches the Rfam family "5.8S ribosomal RNA". The record is from RNAcentral. Lineage: Eukaryota; Fungi; Ascomycota; Sordariomycetes; Hypocreales; Nectriaceae. RNAcentral also lists the same sequence under 1 other name.